UACAAUACAGGCCACACAUGACAAACCCACAGCUAACAUUAUACUCAAUGGAGAGAAAUUGAAAGCGUAUCCCUUGAGGCCAGGAACAAAGCAAGGAUGCCCACUCUCACGACUCCUAUCCAGUAAAGUACUAGAAGUCCCAACUAGAGCAAUCAGGCAAGACAAAGAAAUAAAAGGAAUCCGAAUUGGAAAGGAAGACGUAAAAUUGUCAUUAUUGCGGUAUAUAGGAAAUCCCAAAGAAUUAGUCAAAAAAAAGUGCAAUUGAUCAGUGAUUUCAUCAACGUGGCAGGAGACAAAAAUCAACAUACAAAAAUCAAUCGCAUUCCUUUACACUAAUGAGGAAGCAUCUGAGAAAUAAAACUGUCCCGUUCCAAAUUGUGUAAAAAAUGAAAAUAGGAAUAAAUUUAACCAAAGAAGUAAAAGGUCUAUACAAAGAAACCUACAUACCUUUGCUGAAGAAAAAAAAAAAAAAAGAACACACAAACAAAUGGGAAGACAUCCUAUGUUCAGGAUCAGAAGACUUAAUACUGUUAAAAUGGCCAUCCUACUCCAAGCCAUCCACAUAUUAAGCACAAUCCCCAUCAAAAUACCAAAGACAUUAUUCACAAAAAUAGAAGAAACACUCCUAAAAUUGGUGUGGAAUCACAAAGACCCCCAGUAGCCAAAGCGAUCCUGAGAAAAAAGAACAAAGCUGGAGGUAUCACUAUAAACUAGUUUAUAACAUCACCGUGUGUGUGUGUAUGUGUGAUUAAAACUAUAACUAGUUUGAACUAGUUCAAAGCCAUAGUAGUAAAAGCUGUAUGGUACUGGCACAAAAAUAGACGCAUCGACCAAUGGAACAGAACAGAGAGCCCAGAAUUGAAUGCCAGCAUAUAUGGUCAACUAAUAUUGAACAAGGGAGCCAAGAGUACUCAAUGGGUAAAGGGCAAUCUCUUUAGCAAAUGGUGUUGGGAAAACUGGAGAAACACGUGUAGAACAAUGAAACUAGAUCCCUAUCUCACGCCACUCACACAAAUUAACUUGAAAUGGAUCCAAGACUUAAACAGUAGACCUGAUAACAAAAAGCUCCAAGGAGAAAACAUAGGGAAGAAGAUCACCCAUAUUGGUUGUGGCAAUAAUUUGGGAGACAUGAUGCCAAAAUAUACAAAGAACCCAGUGAACUCAAUAAAAUAAAACCCCAAGCAAUUUGACUAAAAAACAGACUGAACUAAAUUAGACAUUUCUUUGAAGAGGACAUAAAAAUGACCAGCAGGGGCACCUGGGCGGCCCAGUCAGUUAAGCAUCUGACUCUUGAUCUCAGCUCAGAUCUUGAUCUCAGGGUUGUGAGUCCAAGCCCCGUGGUGGGCUCCACGCUGGGUGUGGAGCCUACUUUUAAGAAAACUGACGAGCAGACACAUGAAAAGAUGCUCAACAUUGCUAAUCAUCAGGGAAAUGCAAAAUCAAAACCAAGAUGAGCCAUCACCUCACACCUGUUCGAAUGGCUAUCAUCAAGAAGAGACAACAGGUACUUACAAGGACGUGAUGAAAAAGGAAGCCUUAUACAUUGUUGGUGCUGAUCUAAAUUGGUCCAGCCACCAUGGAAAGCAGUAUGAGGGUUCCUCAAAAAUUUAAAAGUAGAUAAUACAAUCCAAGAAUUCCACUCCUAAGUAUAUAUCCAAAGGAGAUGAAAAUAGUUUGAUUUCAAGGAGAUAUAUACACUUCUAUGUGUAUCACAGCAUUAUUCACAGUAGCCGAAAUAUGGAAACAACCCAAAUGCCCAUCAAUGGAUGAGUGGAUUAAAAAGAUACAUAUACAGAGUGGAAUAUUAUUCAGCCACGAGGAAGGAAAGAUAUCCUGCCAUUUUGCAAUGACAUGGAUGGACCUUGGGCACAUUAUGCUAAUUGAGAUAAGUCAAAGACAAGUACUGUAUGAUAUCACUUACGUGUGGAAUCAAAAAAAAAAAAAAAAACCCAAAUCUGUAAAAGACAGGAACAUGGUGAUUACCAGGGAAUGGGGUGGGGGCUCAGGGAGGGAUAAGAGUGACGGUUUAAGGGACAAAAUUAUAAUGAAUAGUAAAUAAGCUGUAGAGAUUUAAGGCACAGUAUAAUGAGCAUAAUGUCAUAUUAUAGUUACACACGGAGAUAGAUACAUCAGCAACCAUAUUACAGCAUAUAAGUAUAUCAUAGGAAUGCUGUACACCUUACACUUCCACAAUACUGCACAUACAAUUUGUUCAAUAAAUUUUCAAAAAGGUAACAGGAACUAACGGGAAGUAAGGUUUCAACUCUUCACUUAAAGAGGCAAAGCACUGAUACCAGAAUAUGAUAAAUGACAUAUUUAUAUUGUAAUACCUAGGGCGACUCUAAGAGAACUCUACAAAACUACUCCCUCAGAAACACUGAAGACAUCAAAAGGAUAUCAAGAGAAUAUUUCAGAACAACUCCACACACAUAUACACGACCACUUAGAUGAAAUGGAUCAAUUCCGCAAAAGCACCCAUUACAACUUACCCAAUAGGAAAUAGGUCAUUUUUAUAGCCCUAUAACUUCAGGAGAUUAAAUUUUUUUCAGGAGAUUAAAAUUUUAAUUUAAAAAUUCAGAAGAAGGGAUUCCCAGGUACGGAUGGCUUCACUGGAGAUUUCACCCAAAUUUUUAAGAAAGAAUUAAUUAUAAUGCCACACAAUUUCUUCCAAAAAACAGACUAGGAGGGACUACUUUUCAAUUCAUUUUAUAUAGAAUUUCCCUGAUAACAAAACCAAAGAUAGUACCAAAGCAGGAAAGUACAAAUAUCCCUCAUGAAUAUAGAUGGAAAAGUCCCUUUAAAACGUUAGCAAACAGAAUUCAGCAAUAUAUGAAAAGCAAUAUCCGCCAUGACCAGUGGGAUCUGUUCUAGGAAUGCAAAGUUGUUUCAGUAUUCAAAAUUGUGCAAUGUAAUGUACGAUAUCAAUAGGUAAAUAAUAAAAAUCACAUGGUCAUAUCAGCUGAUGCAUAAAGAGCAUUUGACAAAAAUCCAACACCUUUUCAUGACAAAAACACUCAGAAAAAAAUAGAAAAGGGAACAUCUUCAAUUUGAUAAACGCUGUCUACCGAAAAACAAAACAAAACAAAAAAACUUGUACCUAACAUUAUACUUAACAGUGAAAGACUGACUUCCUCUUAAGAUCAAGAACAAGGCAAAGAUGUUCACGCAUCAUUCUUAUUCAACAGAGUACUGGAAGUUAUAGCCACUGCAAUAACACAAGAAAAGCCAAUAAAAGACAUACAUAUCGGGAAAAAAAGAAAACUGUGUAAUAUCCAGAAUAUAUAAAGGUCUCCUACAACUCAACAACAACCAAAACAAAACAAAAACUCAAAACUGGGCAGAGGACUUGAAUAGACAUUUGUCCCAGCAGAAUAAACAGAUGGUCAGUAAGCACUUGAGAAAAUGGUCAAAUCACGAGUCAUCAAGCAAAUGCUAAUCAAAACCGCAACAAGAUACCACUUCACACCCACGGGGGGGGUGCUAUUAUAAGAAUAAUAUAUUUUUUUUAAUGAACAGAGAAAGACAAGUGUUCGUGAGGAAGUGGGGAAGUUGUUAUGUGCUGCUGGGAGGGAUGUGAAAUGGUGCAGCCUCUACGGAAAAUGCUACAGUGGUUCCUCAAAACAUUAAAAUUAGAAUUACCAUAUGAUCCAGCAAUUCCACGUCUGGGUAUAAUCUCAAAGGAAUUGAAAGCAGGGACUUGUAUCAUCGUGGCUGUAGCAGCGUUAUGUACAACAGUGUUAGGGAAGCAACCCCCCCCCAAAAGAAAUACAAUUUAAAAAAAAAGAACAAAGGAAACUGUCGCUAUUUGAAGAUGACAUCGUAGUCAAAGCGCCGAAACCCAAAGACAAGGAGAAAAAUCACGAAAGCGGGAAUAGGACAAAGGGAGCGCUGCAACAAAAAUUAAUGGGUGACUUUUCAUCAGAAACAAUGGUGCCCAGAAAGCAGUGAGGUAACGUAUCUAGAGGAAAAAAAAAAUUAAAAGAAUCUUGCAUCCAGAAAGAUUAUCUUUUACAAGGAAAACAGAAUACAGACAUUCCCAGAUAGAUAAAAACAGAGAAUUCCUUGUUAGUCAUCCAGUUUACAAGAACUGUGGAAGGACAUUUUUCAGGCAGGGAGUGACUCCGCAUAGGAAAUCGAAUUCGCAGAUAGAAAAUGAAAAGUAUCCAUAAAGGUAAUUAUGUAAUAACAUGGGAAAAUAUAAAUGCGUGUUUCUUCCCAUUUCUCAGAACUAAUUUAGAGAGCAAAUGUAUAAAACGUGUAUUUAGUUGUAUUGUUGGCUUGUACCAUAGAGAAUGUAAUAUAUUUGUCAAUGCCAACUCAAAGCAGGUUGGUUGUUGCAAAGCUGUAUUGAGCUAAGGAAAGGCCACCCAUGGGUAAUUCGAAUCCACGGGAAGAAAUGAAAAGGAUCAAAAAUGUUCAUUAAGAAGGUUAAUAGGACAAACACUGUAUACACCUUUGGGCUUGUAACAAAAAUAUACAUAAAUAUAUUUAACGAUAAUAUCACAGAAAUGGGUAAAACGGAAUAAAGGAAUAUCGGGGCAACUUCUGUAUCUAACCAGGCUUAGGUGAGUGUAAAUCUGAAGUUAAGAUGUAGAUGAUGAAUAUAAGAACAACCACUAAGGAAAUAGUGAAGAACUAUUUAGAAAAAUCUUAAAAACUAUAUUAGAAAAUAUUCACUAAAUGCAUAAGAAAGCAGUAAAGGAGAAAGAGAGGAAGAAAAAAAAAUACAGCAGAUAGAAAACAAAAAGUAAGGGGCAGACAUCAAUCCAACUGUAUCAGUAACAUUGAACAUGGGUGGAUCAAACCAUCAAAAGGCAGAGCUAAUCAGACUGGAUUAAAAAAUGAAGUCCAGUGAGACACUGUCUAUAGCAGGCAUACUUGAGGUUCAAGUACACAAACAGAUUGAAAGCAAAGGGAUGGAAAAAGACAGAUCAUGUGAACAGCAACCACACAUACGGGGGUGUUACGCUGAAAUCACAGUGGCCACAGAAACAGCCCGUGUGACAACUGUUUGAGACUUCAGUAUGCCACUUGCAAUGAUGCAUAGAACAAAAAAGGGGAAUAUCAACAAGGAAAGAGAAGAUAUGAACAAUAAAUCCGCUAUACCCAAUGGAUGACUGCAGAACACGAACAACAACCAAAGAAUAUUUGGUCUUUUCAAGUGCCCAUGGAGCAUUCUCCAAGAGGGAACAUAUUGCUGUCCCAGAAGACAAACUUCAAUACAUUCUAAAGGAUUAUAAUACUGUGUUUUCUAACACCAUGGAAUAAAAGUAGAAAUAUGUGGCAUUUAAACAAUGUACUCUUUAAAAAAAUUUUUUUUAAAUUUAUUUUCAAGGGAGAGAGACAGCGCGUGAGCAGGGGAGGGGCAGAGAAAGACAGAGACACAGAUUCUGAAGCAGGCUCCAGGCUCUGAGGUGUCAGUCCAGAGCCCGACGUGGGGCUCGAACCCACAAGCCGUGAGAUCAUGACCUGAGCUGAAGUCAGACGCUCAACCGACUGAGCCACCCAGCACCCCUAAACAACAUACUCUUAACUGACCAAUAUAUCAAAGAAGAAUUCAUAAGAAAAAUUAGAAAAUAUCUUGAGAUGAAUGAAAAUGAAACCACAAAAUACCAGAACUUCUGGGAUACAGUUACAACAGUGCUAAAAGGGAAAUUUAUGGCUGUAGAGGCCCACAUUAAAAAAGAAAAGAGAACUCGCAUCAUUCACCUAACUCUCCACUGGAGGAAACUAGAAGAAAAAAAAGAAAAAAAACCUAACCCUAAAGCGAGAAUAAGAAAUUAAAUAAUAAAGAUUAUAGUGGGAAUUAAUGAAAUAGGGGACGGAAAAAUAAUAGAGUCAAUGAAACCAAACAUUCAUUAUUUGAAAGAUCAACAAAAUUGGGAAACCACUGGCUACGCUAAUGAGGGAGAGAAAACUCAGAUUGCUACAAUUAGAAAUGGCUUUGCAGAAAUAAAAAAGAUUUAAAUGAAUGCUACACACAAUUUCAUAACAAUAAAUUAUACAACUUUGAUAAAAUGGACAAAUUCCUAGAAAGUAAAAAGAAAAAAAAAAACUACUACAACCGAUCAGAAAUAAGUAGAAAAUCUGAAUGUAUCUAUAACAAAUAAAGAGAUUGAAUUAGUAAUCAAGACACUACCCACAAACAAAAGCCCACAAGGCCCAGAUGGUUUCACUGAUAAAUUCUACCAAGAACUUAAAGAAUAAAAAUUCUUUAUAAACUCUUCCAAAAAGGAGAGUAGAACGGGAGGAGGAAACGCCCCCAACACACUCUGCAAGGGUGACAUUGCCCUGCUACCAAACCAGGAAAAAAUGUGGCAAGAACAGAGAACUGGCGAACAGCAACUCCUAUCAAAAUAGAUGCAAAAUGCUCAACAAAAUACCAGCAAAUACAAUCCAGCACUAGAAAGAAAGGAUUAUACACUAUGACCAAGUGGGAUUUGUUCCAGGAAUGCAAGGUUGGAUUAACAUCUCAACAUCAAUGAAUCUAAUGCACCGUAUCAGUAAAAUAAAGGGCAAAAACUACAUGAUUAUCGGUCGAAGAAAAGACACAGAAAAAGCAUUUGGUAAAAUUCAAUACUCUUCCGGGAUGAUAAAACAGGGCUUUAGUAUACCAGGAACAGAAAGGAACUUCCUCAGUCUGAUAAAAAGGCAUAUAGUAAAAAACCAGAACUAACAUGGUACUUAGUGGUGAGAGACUAAGUGCUUUCCUCUUAAGAUCUGUAACAAGACAAAGAUGUCUGUUCCCACCACGUCUAUUCACUAUGUUGGAGGUUCGAUACAGGACAAUUAGGCAAGAAAAAUAAAUGCAUCCGGUUUGGAAAGAAA
Acinonyx jubatus (cheetah) is the source of this 6828-nucleotide long non-coding RNA. RefSeq lists it as uncharacterized. The transcript is spliced from 2 exons. The record is from RefSeq and is a predicted model, not a curated record. Lineage: Eukaryota; Metazoa; Chordata; Mammalia; Carnivora; Felidae.